RNAcentral lists this long non-coding RNA (368 nucleotides) under Setaria viridis. RNAcentral describes it as "long non-coding RNA (SVIR_LNC006907)". Lineage: Eukaryota; Viridiplantae; Streptophyta; Magnoliopsida; Poales; Poaceae. The record is from RNAcentral.
GAGGUUGUUGGGGCAGUAAUCCCUUAGGCUUGUUUUGGUGGUUGCUACUUAUUUUUUUGUGAGAGCUUUGGGUGAGAGGAGAGGGGAGAGAGGAGGGAUCUUUAUGUUGAUCUUUUUGCCAUCCUAGCUUGGAUUGUGCUUAGAAGUGGCUUGUAAUCGGACAUGGUGAAGUAAUCCAAGAAUAAAUUUCGUGCUCAAUUGCUUCUCCUUCUCAAGAUCUAAAAUUUAUCUUUUUUCCUAUUUUCGAAGCAUUUUUCGGUGAAUUUUUGGAUCUCACGAUUGGCAGCAUUUUGGGGUGUUUUUCUUGUGGAAAAUUGGUGCUAGGACAUGUGCGAGAACGUCUAGGAUGAUCUCCUAGCAAACCUAUG